Molecule: long non-coding RNA, 834 nt
Organism: Homarus americanus (American lobster)
Lineage: Eukaryota; Metazoa; Arthropoda; Malacostraca; Decapoda; Nephropidae
Exons: 2
Source: RefSeq, a predicted model, not a curated record
UAAUUAAUUUCAAAGUAAAACGUCCAAAGGAAUUAUAUUUGUGGCUAUAUUACGUUAGGUCAAGUCAGGUGAGGUCAGGUGAGGUCAGGUCAGGUCAGGUCAGGUCAAGUCAGGUGAGGUCGGGUCAGGUCAGGUAAUUAAUUCUCUCUAUUUUAACAGGUGUCAAGACAUCCAAUCAAGCUUUCCCCGUUCGUCCAAUCAACCGUUCGUACAAUCAAACUUUCACCGUUCGUACAAUCAAGCUUUCACCGUUCGUCCAACCAAGCUUUCACCGUUCGUCCAACCAAGCUUUCACCGUUCGUCCAAUCACCUCAUGGUCAGACCUCAUGUUGGUAACUCCACCACCGUUGGCUUGUAAUUAGUAAUUGGUCAACGGUUGUGGAGUACCUUCGUGAAGCUUACCACAUGCAGCGAGUCUCAAGCUUACCACAUGCUCAAGCUUAUAACAUGCAGCGAGUAUCAAAGCUUACCACCUGCCAGCGAGUAUCAAGCUUACCACAUGCAGCGAGGCUCAAAGCUUACCACAUGCAACCGUGUGGGAUCUGACCACUCUUGACCACACUACCAAGGCUGAAGACGAUGACCCCGGCCUCCCCAGCUCCCUCCAUGAACUCCUCCAGAUCCUGCGCGACAGAUGGAGAUCAGACGAGGCCUCCGGGAGCUGAUCUCUUAAAGAUUCCCCAAAUUAAUGUUUCCCACUAACUGAGGUAGUCGAGAGCCUCAUUGUUACGGCACAAACACAGGGAAAUUUUAACUCCUCUUCGGGCAAGUUUACGUAAUUGUUAUAAUGAUGUAAACGACUUUUGGAGAUAAAAUAAAAACUUUCAGUAAAAA